GACGAACGCUGGCGGCGUGCUUAACACAUGCAAGUCGAACGGUGAAAGCGGAGCUUGCUCCGCUGGAUCAGUGGCGAACGGGUGAGUAACACGUGGGCAACCUGCCCCUCACUUCGGGAUAACUCCGGGAAACCGGGGCUAAUACCGGAUAUGACCUCCUUGGGCAUCCUUGGAGGUGGAAAGUUUUUCGGUGAGGGAUGGGCCCGCGGCCUAUCAGCUUGUUGGUGAGGUAGUGGCUCACCAAGGCGACGACGGGUAGCCGGCCUGAGAGGGCGACCGGCCACACUGGGACUGAGACACGGCCCAGACUCCUACGGGAGGCAGCAGUGGGGAAUAUUGCGCAAUGGGCGAAAGCCUGACGCAGCAACGCCGCGUGCGGGAUGACGGCCUUCGGGUUGUAAACCGCUUUCAGCAGGGAAGAAGCCGCAAGGUGACGGUACCUGCAGAAGAAGCACCGGCUAACUACGUGCCAGCCGCCGCUUAA
Molecule: ribosomal RNA, 484 nt
Filed under: uncultured bacterium
Lineage: Bacteria
Description: partial 16S ribosomal RNA
Rfam family: Bacterial small subunit ribosomal RNA
Source: RNAcentral